Molecule: ribosomal RNA, 35 nt
Filed under: Sempervivum armenum
Lineage: Eukaryota; Viridiplantae; Streptophyta; Magnoliopsida; Saxifragales; Crassulaceae
Also listed under: 11 other names
Description: partial 26S ribosomal RNA
Source: RNAcentral
GGGACCCCAGGUCAGGCGGGACCACCCGCUGAGUU